RNAcentral lists this ribosomal RNA (783 nucleotides) under uncultured Pelagibacteraceae bacterium. RNAcentral's name for it is "bacterial SSU rRNA". It matches the Rfam family "Bacterial small subunit ribosomal RNA", at positions 53 to 884 of the family's 1533-position model. The record is from RNAcentral. Lineage: Bacteria; Pseudomonadati; Pseudomonadota; Alphaproteobacteria; Candidatus Pelagibacterales; Candidatus Pelagibacteraceae.
ACAUGCAAGUCGAACGAAGUAGCAAUACUUAGUGGCAGACGGGUGAGUAACAUGUGGGUAUCUUCCCUUUGGCCUGGAAUAACACGAGGAAACUUGUGCUAAUACCGGAUAAGUCUUUACGGAGAAAGCUUUAUGCACCAUUGGAUGAGCCCGCACUUGAUUAGUUAGUUGGUGGGGUAAUGGCCUACCAAGACUUUGAUCAAUAGCUGAUUUGAGAGGAUGAUCAGCCACAUUGGGACUGAGACACGGCCCAAACUCCUACGGGAGGCAGCAGUGGGGAAUCUUGCACAAUGGAGGAAACUCUGAUGCAGCGAUGCCGCGUGAGUGAAGAAGGCCCUUGGGUUGUAAAGCUCUUUCGUCGGGGAAGAAAAUGACUGUACCCGAAUAAGAAGGUCCGGCUAACUUCGUGCCAGCAGCCGCGGUAAUACGAAGGGACCUAGCGUAGUUCGGAAUUACUGGGCUUAAAGAGUUCGUAGGUGGUUGAAAAAGUUGGUGGUGAAAUCCCAGAGCUUAACUCUGGAACUGCCAUCAAAACUUUUCAGCUAGAGUUUGAUAGAGGAAAGCAGAAUUUCUAGUGUAGAGGUGAAAUUCGUAGAUAUUAGAAAGAAUACCAAUUGCGAAGGCAGCUUUCUGGAUCAUUACUGACACUGAGGAACGAAAGCAUGGGUAGCGAAGAGGAUUAGAUACCCUCGUAGUCCAUGCCGUAAACGAUGUGUGUUAGACGUUGGAAAUUUAUUUUCAGUGUCGCAGCAAAAGCGAUAAACACACCGCCUGGGGAGUACG